Molecule: long non-coding RNA, 394 nt
Filed under: Bos taurus (domestic cattle)
Lineage: Eukaryota; Metazoa; Chordata; Mammalia; Artiodactyla; Bovidae
Description: long non-coding RNA NONBTAT018052
Source: RNAcentral
CAGUUCUUGGCAAUGGAAUCCCUCCAGGAUUCAAAUUUGGGCUUUGUCUUGAUUUGCUUUACUCAGUUGUGUUUUGAAUUGAAUAAAUUAUUUAAAAGUUAAAUUUUGUAUUAGUUCUAACGUGAGUGGAGUUGAAUUUUAUGUAGCACAGUGCUUUUGCAGUAUGAUUGGUGUGAAAUACUGAAUAUCUUGUGGAUUUUGUAGUCAGGUUAAAUGACUGAGGAGUACCUACCCUAAGUAUUAUGUACUGGUCAUCUAACUUCUUUUCUGUUCCCAUCUACAGAACACCUACCCAGGUUGUGGUUUUAGAGCAGCCAAAGCUCACUAAUGUUGAUUAGUUCUAAUCUCCACACUGGCCUCAUAUGUGAAACUUGCUUAAAUUUUGGUAAAUUUU